CGUGUGACUAAACCUCGCCUGAUUUUGUCUGAUCUCAGAAGCUAAGCAUUGCCAGGCCUGGUUAGUACUUGGAUGGGAGACCACGAGGAAUACCAGGUGCCACAGUGG
RNAcentral lists this ribosomal RNA (108 nucleotides) under Periophthalmus magnuspinnatus. Lineage: Eukaryota; Metazoa; Chordata; Actinopteri; Gobiiformes; Gobiidae. The record is from RNAcentral.